GGCUGGCCCAAGUGCAGUGGUGUUUACAACUAAUUGAUCACAACCAGUUACAGAUUUCUCUGUUCCUUUGCCACUCCCACUGCUUCACUUGACUAUUAA
Molecule: Y RNA, 99 nt
Organism: Macaca fascicularis (crab-eating macaque)
Lineage: Eukaryota; Metazoa; Chordata; Mammalia; Primates; Cercopithecidae
Rfam family: Y RNA
About the family: Y RNAs are components of the Ro ribonucleoprotein particle (Ro RNP), in association with Ro60 and La proteins. The Y RNAs and Ro60 and La proteins are well conserved, but the function of the Ro RNP is not known.
Source: Ensembl